RNAcentral lists this transfer RNA (75 nucleotides) under Anguilla anguilla (European eel). RNAcentral describes it as "tRNA-Asp". It matches the Rfam family "tRNA". Rfam says of the family: Transfer RNA (tRNA) molecules are approximately 80 nucleotides in length. Their secondary structure includes four short double-helical elements and three loops (D, anti-codon, and T loops). Lineage: Eukaryota; Metazoa; Chordata; Actinopteri; Anguilliformes; Anguillidae. The record is from RNAcentral.
UCCUCGUUAGUAUAGUGGCCAGUAUCCCCGCCUGUCACGGGGCCGGAGACCGGGGUUCGAUUCCCCGACGGGGAG